UCCGCUAUAUUCCUAUAUUUAAAUUAUUGCUUGAUUAAUUGUUGCAAAGGGCCCAUUGUUCAAUUGUCAAGUUAUUAUAUUGCUAAUUAGAACUUUGAAUCCGUAAUUGUUUAAGUGUUCUAAAGCUAGUAGCAAAUAACAUAGUUGA
This is a long non-coding RNA of Ipomoea nil (Japanese morning glory), 148 nucleotides long. RefSeq lists it as uncharacterized. The record is from RefSeq and is a predicted model, not a curated record. The transcript is spliced from 3 exons. Lineage: Eukaryota; Viridiplantae; Streptophyta; Magnoliopsida; Solanales; Convolvulaceae.